AUCGAACCCGGAUUGGUGUCCCAACUCGACAUCCAUGUUCCCAAUUUAUCCCGACCUUUUGCCGGACUGACUCAAUUUCAUCAUAGCGAUUUUUACCAUAUACAAUGGGUUUUUGAAUACUUUGCUAAAGGUGAUCGAAGCGCCUCUGCCGAAAGCACCAUUAGAUAGUGCUCUUUUUGCUCACUGGUUAGCUAUAGAAGGGAUACAACCUGCUAUUCCUGAAAACCCUCCACUUGAAGGUUCAUCUUUUACAAUAACUUUUGCAGCAAUUAGCUUGUGUAGACAUGCUAACGUACAUACAGAGAUGAUGGUUGCUCGAUUAUCUAUUGUUUGCUAUGCGCUGUCUUAUCAAUAUGAUAUUGAUUCUCAUUCCCUUAGUUGUCCUGGUUUGAAAUUUGUUUUCUCUGCCCUGUUGCUGCAAAGACAUGGAAGAGGAUAUUGGUGAAAAAUAACACUUGCUCAGCUGCCUGCUGAUAACCGAAAGACCCAGUAUAAGGAGGAUGGAGUUCCUGCUGAUCUUACAAUACCUGUUAAGCAUGUCUUAUCCCGUGAGCAUCAGCUUUAUUAUGACAGGAUUACAGAGCUUACUGUGCACAAAUCAACUCCCCUCUCUUUAAAGAAGCUCUAGCAAGCUUUGCAACAGAUCUUGGGCUUCAUCCUAUAGAUCCUUACUUCACAUAUUUUGUUGCUGAUGAGUUGCAUCAAUCAAUGCCAUCUGUAAUGACAUGCCUUGUUGCGAGAAGGUUGGGAAAUAAAAUCUCUGACCACCUGUAGGAACUGAGGGACUUCACAACAAAGUUGGUUGGUUUAAUAUGCAGGCGAUAUGGCCAUCUGUAUCACAGUCUCCAGCCACGUGUCACGAAAACUUUGCUGCAUGCUUAUCUUGAUUCAGCUAAGGCACUGCCUCAGCAUUAUGGAGCUAUCCAAGGGCUUAGCAGCUCCUGGACCUGGUGUGGUUCCCCUACUUGUGCUGCCCAAUCUUGAAGCUUCUUUGCGGUUGUUGGAGCCUGAAAUGCAGCUUGAGAAACAAAAAAAAUGAAAUGAAGAGACAUGAAGUGUCACGACCCAAAUCAUGGAUCAUGCGGGCGUCCACACUAACCCUCCCUGGUGGGCGAACCCUUCAGUGUGCUGCGGGUCUAUGCAUGUAUGAGCAUUUCAAGAUGCUUCCUGCCUCUCUAUCUCCAUCAAAUCGGACAUUCCUGAAGAGUAAAUUGAAAGUCUUGACUACAUUGUCGAGUACGUCUUGAAAUUUACUUAGUCUAUCCUUGCUAUACUCAAUAACUGCAAUUUUUUUAUUAUUCAGGUUUUUGAAAUAUUUGUGUUAAGUUGUCUGUUAAGUAUGUCUUUCUGCUUUUAACUGUCAAUAGAGAAUUUGUCUCGAGAAAGAUAUGUUCUGUAGCACUCCAUAGUUAUUUUAUAGUAUCUUAUUUCUGUAUGUAUCAGAUUGACAUCUCCUUUUAUGAUAACA
Lycium barbarum (goji berry) is the source of this 1468-nucleotide long non-coding RNA. RefSeq lists it as uncharacterized. NCBI's taxonomy places the organism in Eukaryota, Viridiplantae, Streptophyta, Magnoliopsida, Solanales, Solanaceae. The transcript has 8 exons. The record is from RefSeq and is a predicted model, not a curated record.